Molecule: ribosomal RNA, 450 nt
Filed under: uncultured bacterium
Lineage: Bacteria
Description: partial 16S ribosomal RNA
Rfam family: Bacterial small subunit ribosomal RNA
Source: RNAcentral
CCUACGGGCGGCUGCAGUAAGGAAUAUUGGUCAAUGGACGCAAGUCUGAACCAGCCAUGCCGCGUGGAGGAUGAAGGUCCUCUGGAUUGUAAACUUCUUUUAUUUGGGAAGAAACUCCCGAUUUCCAUCGGGAUUGACGGUACCAGAUGAAUAAGCACCGGCUCACUCCGUGCCAGCAGCCGCGGUAAUACGGAGGGUGCAGGCGUUAUCCGGUUUCACUGGUGUGAAGGUGUGCGUAGAUGGGCAGGGAGAAAGCUCCGGGCUUAACCCGGAAACUGCCAUUGAUACUAUUUGUCUUGAAUACUCUGGAGGUGAGCGGAAUAUGUCAUGUAGCGGUGAAAUGCUUAGAUAUGACAGAGAACACCCAUUGCGAAGGCAGCUCACUACGGAAAUAUUGACGCUGAGGCACGAAAGCGUGGGGAUCAAACAGGAUUAGAUACCCCAGUAGUC